UUUAUAAAACACCUUGGAGUUUUCUUGGAUCGCAAGUUUGUUUGUUGAACAGAGCACGUGGAAUUGGAUGUUGUUGUUGUUGUAAGUUAUAUGGACUAUUAUGAGCAAUCCUUUUAUUAGAGCUGUAAACUGGGCGAGCUCAUGUCCAUUAGUCCAUAUCCAUUUGUCCAUUCAUUGUUUGUGGACAGCAAAGUGACCAUGUCCAUUAAGAACCAUAUCCAUUAAAGACCAUACCCACUAACACCCAUAUUUUUAUGGGCUGCCAUGGGGUCCAUAAUGACCAUAUAAGAAAAUUUUAAAUUUUAAUUUAUAAGCAUACAAUUAUAUAUAAAAGUUCAUAAAAUUAAAAUUCAUCCAUAAAUUCAAAAGCACAACAAUACAUAAGUUCAUAAAUACAACAAUUACGGUUUUGGUGGGAAAAAUUGAUUUUGCAGUUUUGGCGGAAAAACUCGAUUUUGCAGUUUUGACGGAAAAACUCGAUUUUGCAGUUUUGACGGAAAAACUCGAUUUUGCAGUUUUGACGGAAAAACUCGAUUUUGCAGUUUUGACGGAAAAACUCGAUUUUUCAGUUUUGGCGGAAAAAACUCAUUUUUGCGGUUUUGGCGGAAAACUCGAUUUUCUGAUUUUGGCAGAGAAACUCGAUUUUUCGGUUUUGCCAUGGGGUCUAUAAUGACCAUAUAAGAAAAUUUUAAUUUAUAAGCAUACAAUUACAUAUACAAGUUCAUAAAAUUAAAAUUCAUCCAUAAAUUCAUAAGUACAAUAAUACAUAAGUUCAUAAGUACAACAAUUUCGGUUUUGGCGAGAAAAAUCGAUUUUGCGGUUUUGGCAGAAAAACUCGAUUUUCCGGUUUUGGCGGGAAAAUUCGAUUUUGCGUUUUGAAGAAAAACUCGAUUUUCUGGUUCUGACGGGAAAAUUUGAUAUUAAAAUUUAAGCGAAAAAAUCGAUUUUACGAGUUUAGCGGAAAAACUUAAAUUUUAUAAACUUUAGGUUUUGUGACCAUUGGACAGUCCACGUCCAUAAAGCCCAAAACCAAUAAAGACCAUUUUCUUAAUGGUCUUCCACAUUUUGUCCAAUGAAAACUAAUGGGAAAAAUGGGUUUGUCCAUAUUAAGCCCGUUUGUAUAUGGACAUGGGCAACCAUUGGACGGCCCGCCCAUUUGACACCUCUACCUUUUAUAACCAUAUUUAGUUAUUUCUUUCACUUUUACUAAAUAUGUAACAACCGUGCAAAGUCAAUAGCUCUCUCUCUUACCUCUCUCGUAUCUUUCAGAGAGAGAGAGUUUUCUUUUCCGUUUGUUUUCACCAGAGCUAUCUCCGGCGUCUUAGUUGCCCGGCGUUUUGGGCACCGACUCUGGCAUACGGUGGCUCUUUAAGCACGGUGUGGUCGGCUCUUGACUCCGACGGCUCUCCUGUCUUCUCGGUGUUGCCGUCCGGUUUUUGACUCCGGCGUCGUGCACCUUCCCUUUCGGUGACGGCGGCUGGCUUUUCUCCGGGAGUUUCCGGGAUUUGUUUUUCUUUCUUCCUGAUCUACGUCCGAGCUUCUUUCUUUCAUUUCAACUUCGGUUUUGGGAUCCGAUUGUUUCUUCCUCUCCCUUGUUUAGGGUUUUCUAAUCUUCAAGCUUAUUCUCAUCAUAAAAGAUGAUUGUUUUAACUGAGCAGGUUAAUCGGUUCCUUUGAGAUCGUUCGCUUGUAAAUGAAUCUCAUCUUCAAUGCGUAGAUCCCUUGUCGGCUUGAGUUUUCUCCGUUACGGUGGCUCACUGUUGAGUCUUUGUCCUAUUAUCGUGUGAUUGAGUAACCUCUCCUGGCGAUAGGAUCUCCGGUGAAGAAUCCUCGUCGGCUUGAGGUAGGCUGAGUUUAGUCGCCUCUGUGCUGAUCUUUCUAUCGUUGUUGCUGGUUUUCAUCUCCUUGGCCUGUUCCGGUUAGUUUCCGGUGGUUUGUCGAUUUGAGAUUCCGGCGAUAACUUUCCUGUCGUUGAAGCAACGUGAUGUUUCUGCUUCUGGACACGUGGACCUUACGUGCAUAUGAGCCCAACACGUGUGGGAACUGCCGUGAAACGAUCACCAUCUUCCAUGGACUUCUUUUGCUGCUGGGCUUUUAGGGUUCCUUGUAAAUGUGUACUCUGUCCUGUUGGGCCUUUACGUAAUACUUUGUCUGCCCUGUUGGACCUUUAGUUUGUAAUAGUUUCAAUAGUUAAUAAUACUAGUGAUAAAAAAAAAAUAUGUAACAACCUCUUCGUUUGGGUAAUUUAUUGCAUGUUUAAAUAAAUGUAAUUAUAAAAUACCCAUCAGAAGAACAUCCACUAUCUACCCG
This 2309-nucleotide long non-coding RNA is filed under the name Brassica rapa (field mustard). RNAcentral's name for it is "long non-coding RNA (BRAP_LNC003002)". Lineage: Eukaryota; Viridiplantae; Streptophyta; Magnoliopsida; Brassicales; Brassicaceae. The record is from RNAcentral.